Mya arenaria is the source of this 2924-nucleotide long non-coding RNA. RefSeq lists it as uncharacterized. The record is from RefSeq and is a predicted model, not a curated record. The transcript is spliced from 4 exons. Lineage: Eukaryota; Metazoa; Mollusca; Bivalvia; Myida; Myidae.
AAUCGUAGUCCUCAGACCAACGUUGUGGGAGGUACACCGUAAAUGUGGGCAGUACGAAAUCUUCCCAAAAAUACGGUACCUUUAUUUCAUUCAUUUGGUCUUCAGGGGUGAUAAUUUAAUGUUUAAAAAUCUGCCCACAAUUCGCCAGCUUGGGUUGUGGGAAGAAAAAUAAUAUUUGGCUUGCCUCCCUUGAUAUAUUUUCUGAUUAAAAUUUUCAAUCGAGCAAUUUGGUCACCGAUAUCCCGAAGCCUGCCUACGGAGAUGGCCGAGUUGUCACGAUCGUUCCUCGUUGCCCAAUUGAAACUUCCCGGCUUGACUCGGAAUAGGGUCGGCCAUUUUGAUAAUAUUUAUGGAGUAGCAGAACAGAAUUUGAGAUGACUUUGCCUGGAAGGAAAGCAUCACAAAAAGAUAUUGCCCUUCACUGGGGUGGGAAAAAAGAUCCAAAAGGCUUUGCAAUAAAAAUUUAUGGUUUUAAAGAUGAGCAACCAGCAGACGCAGAAUCCUCCAACUGGUAUACUAUCAAGUGAAGUGACUCAGACUUACCCUGCAGACCAACUAGCAGAAGCAGUAUCCUCCAAAAUGGUAUACUAUAGAGUGAAGCGCCCAGACUUACCCUGCAGGGCAACAAGCAGAAUCAGUAUCCUCCAAACCUGUAUAUGAUUGAGUGAAGUGACCCAGACCUACCCCGCAGAGCAACCAGCAGAAGCAGAAUCCUCCAAAAUGGUAUACGAUGGAGUGAAGCGAUCCAGAAUUACCCAGUCCCCAAAGAUGAUGAUGGCAAUAACUCGAUAAGAGAUCCAACUUUGAUGGAAACUGUUAUAGGGGAGAGACCAGCAUAGAUGGUAAACCAAUAUCAAAGGAUUCUACACAAUAAAAGAAACAAAGGUGGUCUGAAGAAGAAAACAAGAUCUUCAUACCAAUCUUUAAAGCAUGUCUAACGGACAAACACAUAACCAACUCUUACCGCAUAAGGCUUGCAGCUGAGAAAAUACCUGAAAGGACAAUAGCUCAAAUAAAGAAGAGAGUUCACAACAGGCAAACAAGCUUGGUCAUUGAAAUUGUGUUAAAGGUUUGGUCUCCAGGCUACUUAGUUGAGAUGUCUAGGGUCAUCAACACCUUUUUUCUUUUAAAGGGACUGUACACCAUAUUGGCACCAAUUUUCGUAACGAAUCUCAGGACAAUUAUCUAAUAGAAUGUGUUACCCUUUGAUGCCAUAAUUGUAAAAAAAAAACACCAAAAUGUAAAAAAAAAAAUGUGUAGGAGACCGGGUUCAAACAAGUGUCGCCAAAAUUGAAGUCCAGCGUCGUAUUCACUGAGCUUCGAUGGCUUUUUUUAAUCAGGUGACAUAAGUAAGCUAAACAAUUAACUCUGUAAUAUCAGGUGAUAACACCGACUAGCCAAUCAAGCAUAAGGAAUGAAUUUUACUAGGUAGAUAUACCCAGUAAUCUUUUUUAAUGGAAAAAUACCUAAUAACUGCUAAACUUGAAUAAAUUGUAAACUAUGUAGUACUUCAGUUAGUAAGUUUCAAUACAUUGUACACAUUAAUACCAAAUUUGUGACAGUCUUCGACAAUAAUUAUUGUCUUUUUUUCUUGCAAAUUGAUGAUCUGGUGCACAGUUGCUUUGAAGAACCAUCAGUGUGAAUAGGACUGCUUCGAAAUUGAACAUGAAUUGUUCAUUAAGCUUCUGUGUUAUAAACAUGAUCUAAAGACAUUUAAUAUUUUAAUGCCCCCACUUAUCAGGAUAAUGGAUUACCUGUGAAUAGACUUAGUUUGGUUGGAAAUUAUUAAGAGCUGCUGUGAUCAUUUCCUGAGAUCACAUGAGGCAAGUGGGGGCAUCCGGGUCAUAUCGACACAAUUCUAGUCACUUUCACAAGAUGUUUUACUUAAAGCUGCACUCUUACAGAUAUAAUGUUUUUUACAACUUUUUUUAUUUUUUGUCUUGGAAUGAGUUGUUUUUUUGCGUAAAUACAAUGUAUCUGCAAACCAGCAUUAAAAGACUGAUGACAAAAGAUGAGUUUGCAGGUUUUCAUAUUUUAUCUCCAAAACUGAUGUUUUAUGCAUUUUUUAAACCAUUAGUACAUGCUGAAUAUGCUUGUUGUAAAUGUUACUUCUACAGUUUAAAAGGAUUUUGUUGAAAAUUGCAUACCAGGGGUUAGUUGUCAGAUGUUUGUGCUUUUUGCUCCAUUUUUGAAAUUAUAUAAUUGCUUGAUUAUAAUCAGAAGUCUGUAAAUUCAUCAACAGAUGCCAGAAAAUCAAGAUUUCAAUUCUACUGGGCACCCUAGGUUCAGUGUGAAAUAGUUUUGUAAAAUACAUAUGGGUACUUACAAAAACUUUUAUUGAAUUUUGUACGUCAGACAACAUUUCCUCUUCUGUUGGAUAUAAGCAGAAAGAAAUGUUUGGGAAAUAUACCUGUUGAAUUGGAACUUUACCACCUAAGUGUACCUCAUCCUGAUCUCCUUAGGCUUAAGUUAAAUAAUUUCAUGCCAGUUUUUUUUUAAUUUUCUGAUUUAAAAAAAACCCAACUCAACUUUUGAAAAUAUCCUGAUGAAAGAACUACCCCACUACUAGUAGACAAUCAGUCAGUGUUGUAAGUAACGGUUUGAAUUUUCAUUCAGUCAUUUUUUUCAUAUAUAUGUACUUAUAUAAUAAGGAAAUCUUGUGAAAGCAACUUCUCAAGUUUAUGAAGAAUUUUGUUGAAGCUUGUCCACACUAUCAGUCAUUAUAUGUAUUUGAGCUGCAUUUUCUGUUGGACUCUUCGAUCAGGGGUUACAACCCUUUGUUAUUUGCUUUAUACAUUCUUGUGUAUGCAACCCUUCCCACUUUGUUUAAACAUGCUUAUAUUCUUAAACAUGCUUAUUAGACUUUGAACAGAACAUGGCAUGUGCAUCAGGGAACAGAUUCCCGAUUCUGAUUUUAUAUUGAA